GAAAUCUUCACAAUUUAUGUCUUCUGCCAUGGCUUCAGCCAGUUCCUCCAUUUGGGGUCCCUGACUUCCCGCAACACCACACAACUUCUAACUUGGAAAAAAAAAUUUCAAAUAUUUUCAUACGUGCAAUGAAAGUAAUUAUUAGCAUGGCCCUAGAAAGCGUCAGCUUUGCCAAAACUAAGUGGUAAAUUGAUCCACAUUUAAUUUGGUUUCCUAUAUUAUAUGCUUCUGUUCAGAUUGUCUGAAGCCUAGUUAAAACACAGUGAUGCCUGCUGUCCAUUAAAUGUUAACCAGUGGAAUUUGUGCUAUGGUGUUUAUUAUUCUAGGAAUAGAAACAAUCUAAGAAGGAUAAAGGCGCUGGGCGCGGUGGCUCAAGCCUGUAAUCCCAGCACUUUGGGAGGCCGAGGCGGGCGGAUCACGAGGUCAGGAGAUCGAGACCAUCCUGGCUAACACGGUGAAACCCCGUCUCUACUAAAAAUACAAAAAAUUAGCCGGGCGCGGUGGCGGGCGCCUGUAGUCCCAGCUACUGGGGAGGCUGAGGCAGGAGAAUGGCGUAAACCCGGGAGGCGGAGCUUGCAGUGAGCUGAGAUCCGGCCACUGCACUCCAGCCUGGGUGACAGAGCAAGACUCCGUCUCAAAAAAAAAAAAAAAAAAAAGAAGGAUAAAGGCAGAAAAGUGGGAAAGGUUGUGAUGCCUUGAAGAGUUGACUUAGAGCAUAUCAAGAUGUACUGUGGUGUCAUAGAGUCAUGGGAAAGAAACUGAUGUCAGAAUGGUAUAGUAGGCUAAGAUCACCAUGAAAAAGACCCUGUGCACUCUCCUAAAGAGACUGAAUGAUGAUCCCAGGAACCAACGUGGCAGUUACAAAAGAGGAUCUCCGAGGAAGAGUACUUCUCUUUGACUGAGAUCAUUAACUCCCAGCGCAGCGGCUAGGAGAAAAGAGGAUUUAGAUUUGGACUCCAAAGAUAAUUUAAAAGUACAUCCAAUUUCCAACUCCCCCUGGGUGGCUUUGAGCGAUGAAAAACUGUGGAGUUUUACAAUGUCAGUAAGUAUUAAUAAGCUUAAAUGUUCACUGAACUAAAAAAAGUCAAAUAUUAGGGCUCUACAGAGUAGGGCUUAGAUAGUGCACUUGAAGUGCAUGCUAAAAUCACUUU
RNAcentral lists this long non-coding RNA (1151 nucleotides) under Macaca mulatta (Rhesus monkey). RNAcentral describes it as "lncRNA (ENSMMUG00000061527.1)". The record is from RNAcentral. Lineage: Eukaryota; Metazoa; Chordata; Mammalia; Primates; Cercopithecidae.